RNAcentral lists this long non-coding RNA (8513 nucleotides) under Sus scrofa (pig). RNAcentral's name for it is "lncRNA (ENSSSCG00000062026.1)". The record is from RNAcentral. Lineage: Eukaryota; Metazoa; Chordata; Mammalia; Artiodactyla; Suidae.
UGGAUUUAGGGUAUGGAAAUAUUUGGGAAGCCCCUUAUGCAGCCUAAUACAAUGAGAAUGUCAAAGAGCCCCUCAUCUGAAGAGGAGAGAGCAGCCUGCCCUAAGGGGCAGACCUGGGUUAAUUUACCACAUGGAAGGCGCUGGAGAAGAUAAAGCAUCAUAUUCAGAGAAUGGUGAUAAAGUUAAUACUGUCCUACCUCAGGGGCACAUCAACUUCCUUGCCUCAUGUAGUAAUUUAGUCCAUGGAGAUCUAGAUUGUCUUUCUUUUCCAUAAGACAUCACACCAGGAAUAGUAUUCUGAUUGAACCCAGUGAAUGAGAGUUUGCGUGUUAGAGGAUGGGAAAUCAAAAUUCGCUGGUCUUUUGCCUCUGAUAUUUCUGGGGCAUGUCAAAAUAUCCCUUCUAAGGUGAAGAAUAAGUUGUUGCAUCUCGUCCUCUUACAAGGCAUGAUACCUAGUGGGUUUCUGGAUUUUGGAGACUUUCCUCAGUAUGUAUGACUCCAGCCUGUUUACUGAGUGACCCAUAAAGUUGCUGGUUUGGAAUUGGGUCUAGAACAAGAAGAGGCCCUGCAGCAGGUCCAGGACACUGUGCAGACUGCUCUGCCACUUGGGCCACAUGAUCUAAUGGUGCUUAAAGUAGCAAUGGCAGAUAAAAAUGCACCUUUGAAGCCUUUGGCAGCCCUUUUAUGUGAGUCACAGCACAAGCCUUCAGGCUUUUGGAGUAAAGUCUUGUCAUCCUUUAUGGAUAAUUAUUCUCCUUGAGAAGCUUGCUUGCUGAUAGGUCUUAGUAGAGACUGGAUGCCUACAUGUGGUUCACCAAGGUACCAUGUGACCUGCCCAUCAUGAACUGCAUGUUGUCUGACUCACAGAACCAUGAAGUUGGGUGUGCACGCAGCACACUGUAUCAUCAAAUGGAGCUAGUAUAUAGAUCAGGCUUGAGCUGGCCCUGAAGGCACAAGAAGGUACAUGAGGAAAUGGCCCAAAGUGUUUGACUUCCACUCUUACAUUAUUCUCCUGCAGCUCACAUUUUUGGCCUUGUGGAGAGUUCCCUAAAAUCAGUUGGCUAAAUAAGAGAAAAUGUGUGCAUGAUUUACAGAUAGUUCUGCACAGUAUUCAAGCACCACAAUACACAAGAUCAGUGCAGACCCUUCCUUGGUGGUAAAAGGAAAUCCUUCCAUAAGGCAAAACUUUGAGGAGUGAACCUUUUGCUCAUUUUGCUUGGAAAGAGGAUGGCCAGAUGUACAAUUACAUACCAAUUCAUGGACUGUGACCAUGGUUUGGCUGGAUAGGUAGGGACUUGGAAGGAAUAUGAUUGGAAAAGGAGUCUUUAGAAGAGGUAUAUAGAUAGACCUCUCUAAAUGGGUUAAAAAAAAACAUGAAAAUGCUUGUGUCCCAUGUGAAUACUUAGCAACUGGUGGAUUUAAUAAUCAAGAGGACGGGCUUACAUAUUCUGUGGAUACUAGUCAGCCUUUUCCCCAGCCCCUUGAGUCAUCACCCAAUGGACCCAUGAACAAAGUGGCCAUGGUAGCAGGGAUGGAGGUUAUGACUGGGCUCAGCAACAUUGAUUUCCACUCACCAACACUGACCUGGCUAUAGUCACUGCCGAUGCCUACUCUGUCAACAGCAGAUACCAAAACCAAUUCCCCAGUAUGGCACCCAUCUAAGGUGGUCAGCCAGCUACCUCUUGGUAGGUUAAUUCACUGGACCACUUCCAUCAUGGAAUGGACAGUGUUUUGUUCUCACUGAAAUAGAUACUUCAUCUAGAUAUGGAUUUUCCUUUCCUUUAAGCAAUGCUUCUACCAAAACUACCAUCUGUAGACCUACUGAAUGCCUUAUCCACUGGCAUCAUAUAAGGAUUGCAGUUAGCAUGGCCUCUGAUCAAGGAACUCGUUUCACACCAAAUGAAGUGUAGUAAAAGGCCCUUACUCAUGAAAUUCACUGGUCUUACCAUGUUCUCCAUCAUCCUAAACAGGUGGCUUGAUAGAACAAUGGAAUGGCCUUUUGAAGAGAGUCAGGUAUAGCACAAGGUGGUGGCAGUACUUGUAGGGUUGGGGCAGUGUUCUCUGGGAGGAUGUAUAUGUUCUAAUUCAGCAUCCAAUAUAUGGUGCUGUUUCUCCCAUAGAGUUGAUGAACCCAGGAAUCAAGAGCUGGAAAUUAAAUCAAUACCAUUCACUAUUGCACCUCUUGACUCAUAGCAAAAUGUUUACCUCCUAUCCUGACUUUGUGCUCUGCUAGUCUAGAAGGCUUAGUUCCAAAAUUAGGAAUGCUUCCACCAGGAAACACAUUAAUGAUUUCAUUGAACUGGAAGUUAAGACUGCCACCCAGCCACUUUGGGCUCCUCGUGCCUCUGAAUUAACAGGCAAAGAAGGGAGUUACUAUCCUGACUGGAGUGAUGAUCCCAACUACCAAAGAGAAAUGGAGCAGCUACUAUAAAAUGGAGAUAAGGAAGUCUGGAGUACACCAGAUCUGUUUGGGAAACUCUUAGUACUACCAUGCCCUGUGGUUAAAGCCAAUAGUGUUCUUUCUCUAGCAACAUAAUUUGAUCUCUUCCUUCACAUUCUUUGCUGAAAUAUGCACUAAGUAUGUAAGAUCAGAAUCAUUAUGAUGGGGUUUCUCUCUCUGACAGGAGAUCCUGUCCUUUCAAAAAUUCACAGAGUUCCAUCAGGGCCUUAAAGAUAAAAUUUUACACUCCUUUCAUUUGUCUGUUAUUUUACUGUUCUGCAUCUACCUUUAUGUAUCUUUUUAUGCUUAGAGUCAAAGAUCACAAGAUGUGAUCUUAUUUGAAUUCUGGGAUUGGGAAUCAGUCCCUGGUAGAUCUCUUAUAAUGCAUUCAGAUUCUAAAGAAUCCAGCAUAAGCAGAACUGCUGUUCAGCUGAAAAGCAUAAAUAGGGCUGCCUUAAUUGUUGUUGACUGACAUCUGUCCUACUGGUUGGUGGCUGAGCCAUACAGAUUCCUAAACAUUUUGAAUAUCACCCCUGCAUAUGGGUCCUCACAGUGAAAAUAUGUACAACUCUAUUACAUUGAAAGCGUAAUAGUAGCUCUGUUAUUUUGUAAAACACUGAAAACCUCAUAGAUAUCCAAUGUCAAUUGGCCAGUUAUACGUAGUAUGUAUUUCUGAGAUACCACCAUUUAUUACCAAGAUCUCUGUAUAAAUGGUUGAGUGGUAUUAAUGGCAUUGAAAUCAUUGAAGAGGCUUCCCUCCUGGGCUCGCAGGCCCCUGUGCUUCUAGAGGAAGAUAGAAUGCAGCCAAGUUGGUUCCACUCUGUGAGCAGAGUGCCCAGGAUCAUACUACAGUCUCCCUUGGGAGAGCUCCAUGACAGCCCAAGGGUACCCAAGGAGAAGUUCUUAUGAACACCAGUGACCUUUAUUUUUAUUGAGUGUCAUUUCAGCACCUAACUUGGACAGAGUAUUUGAACAUAAGCAAGCAGUUACAGAACUGCCAUUUGGGUUUACAUCUCAAGUGCACUUACACUUCAUAAAGGUAUCUAUUCUAUUAUCACAGAAUUUUUUUUUAUUGGAUUCCCUUUCUAGUUUUUUAGAAAAAGUAAAGAAGGAAGAUGGAUAAAAUGUGACUAAUGUGGGUAAUUAUCUUUACAAUUCUCUCCAAUACAGUACUCUCAAAUUAUUUUUUAUCGUUUUUCUUUUGGCCCUUUGAGAAACAAAUCUCUUCAGCAAUUUGAAUUUAUUGAAAAUCUUUAGACAUCAGCCAGCCCUUUCUAAAGAGCGAGAGCAUCGUUACGGUUUUUCUCAAGCAAAGAAGACGUGCUCAAUUUUAAUUACACAAAGCUUUUGUUGAUUUGGCUGACUUAAUAUCUUAAGCCUUGAUUAACUUUGGGAACUCAUAAUCAUCACUGUUCAGACUUGGAGAAGUGGAGGAGACCCAAAGAGUUCAGCUACCAAGGGUGAUCAUCAUUAGAGGAGGGGGAGGUGCUCCAAAGUGACAAAGACAUGGAUUAAGAUAGGGAACCCAGUGGCUUUUCGUCGCUAUUGAGAAUACUUAGGGUGCUUAUUGAAAUCAAAGCAGAUGUAAGUAAUCAGAGAGUAAGAGUUUAUUAAUAAAGAACUUCUUUCACAGGUGUACUGCCAUAAUAAGAAUGAUUUCAGUAACAUCCAUUUAUCAAGUACAUACUGCAGGGCUUCUCAAAGUGUCACUAAGAAAUGGAGCCUAUGGAGCUACCAUGGAACCCCCUUAAAACACACCACCCUCAGUUUAUCUGACUUGAAAGUCUGUGUUUUUCCUGUGUUAUUUCCUAUUUUACUUUCCUUGAAUGCCUGGCUUCAAUGCAGUGACAAUGCCAGAUCUUUAACCCACUAAGCCACAAAGGAAAUCCUAUUUCCCUUUUGUAACACAAGAAUCUUGGCCUUACCAAUCUGCAGCAAGGAAACAUGGUCCCAUAUUUAUAUCCUAAUUUAUACUCUUUCACUUGCCAGAUGAUUAAGAAGUCCAGGAUUUCCCCAGAUUUCUCCUCUCCAAAUAUUCUCUAGAACUCUCAGAUUUGCUUAUGACUUAAUGAAUCAGCUCUCCCUGCCUGCUGUUGCCUGCUGGAAAGUUGAGAACUCAGAAAUGUUGUUAAGAUCAGACUUCACUGUCCUUUGAUGCUGAGAAGACCUGGUGUGUUUGUCUUAGAUAUCUCCAGCUAAGUGGCUUUACACCUUAUAUAAGUGGAAUUAUACAGUAUUUGUCCUUUCAUGUCUGGCUUAUUUCACUUGGCAUAAUAUGUUCAAGGUUUGUGCAUGUUGUAGCAUGUAUCAGAAUUUAAUUCCUUUUUAAGGCUGUAUAAUAUUCCACUAUAAGUAUAUACCACAUUCUCUUUAUUCAUUCAUAUGCUGAUGGACAUUUGGGUCAUUCCCACCUUUUGGCUAUCGUGGAAAAUGCUGCUAUGAACAUUGAUGUUCAAGUAUCUGAGUUCCUGCUUGUAAUUUCUUUGGAUAUAUACCCAGAAGUGGAAUUGCUGGAUCAUAUGGUAAUUCAGCUUAACUUUUUGAGGAACUGCCCUAUCAUUUUCUAGAGUGGCUGCCCCAUUUUAUGUUCCCACCAGCAACACUCAAAGAUUCCAGUUUAUCCACAUCCUCACCAAUACUUGCUGUUUUCUGUUUUUGUUUUUCUAAAAAUAACUUCCAUUUACAUUCCAAUGAGUGGAAAGUGGUAUUUCAUUGUAGUUUUUUUUCCUAAUGACUAACGUUCCAUGGGUCCCAAGGCUAUUGAUGGUGGUGCCCUUGAUUAGGAAUGCUUGUGGCACUCACCAGGCACACCUUAUUCUUAGCGAGUUCUGCAGACAUUUCCCAUUGGAACCUCUUUUUAUACCUGGGCCAGCCCUACGGUUCUUAUGAUCACAGGAUGUACUUCAGCAAAAACCUUCAGGGAACUUCAAGGAACAUAUUUUUAAUUCGUAAGUCCUGGAGUUCUUGGAGCACAACCAAGGGGCAUAGAGAAAGUUCAGCCCUCGGGUUCUGCCUCUAUUAAGAUGUGAGAGUGAGGUGCGUAGAGUUUCCUGGAUUCACUCUUUAUCAGCUAAUUGAAAGCAUAAGAGCAGGAAUCAGAGCACCAGAAGAGAGAAGUGGGGUCACUCGAGAGAAUAACAUAGUUAUCUCAAUUCCCCGGGGCUUUCCAAAAGGGGACGUUCAUGGGUGGGGGAAGCCUAGUUCCUUAUCUGGUUGGUUUGCUAGUAACUGUGUCAUACAGUUGGCAAUAUGUUUAUUUAGGAUGGAUGCCUCUUGAAGUAAUUGCUUCUGGCAAUUGAAAGCUUAAUGUCAGGCAUUUACACUACACCUAGUGAUGCAGAGUAUCUGUGCUUAUUGACCUGCGUAUCCCUAUCCCUGUCUGUCUGUCUGUCUGGCUGUUGGUCUAUCUAUCUAUCUAUCUAUCUAUCUAUCUAUCUAUCUAUCUAUCUAUCUAUCUAUCUAUCUAUGUAUCUAUCUAUCUAUCUAUCUAUCUAUCUAUCUAUCUAUCCAUCUAUCCAUCUACAAGAAAUGUCUAUUCAAGUCCUUUGCCCAUUUUUGAAUUGGGUUGUUUGUUUUUAAUUGUUGUUGUUGAAUAAUUUACAUUCUUAACAAGUUCCCACAUGAUGAUGAUCUGAGAAUCACACUUUGAAAAACUAUUGCUUUAGAUUAUAUAUGUCAAAUGAUGGAAUGCCAGGCUUAUUAGACAAGCAAAAUUUACUUGGUGUAUAGUUUUAAUCACUUCUUAGGUACCAGACUUUUGAUAACUGAUCAUCUGUGGCUUUCUUGGGAUUUUGCUAUACUACCUUGUUCCCCAUGCAGCAACACUGAAAGUAAAGGUAACCUUUGAGAUUGAAAAAUCCCAGUACUAUGUCACCCAACACCUUCAACCCCCCCCCCCCAGAGAUUGUAUCUGGAUGUUAUAAUGUUCUGUAAAUACACAUUUACUAAAGCUGGACCUGAAAAAAUGUUAUUACUGACCUGAAGAUUUUGGAAACAUGUUUACAUAUCAUCAUGAAGCCUCAAAACUCUUGAUGAGUUGGAAUCAUUUUAUACGUGUGUUUUUUUCUUUCUUUAAGAAUAAUUAUCUUAAAGAACUCUGCUUAUUAGACUGAGUUAGAGGAAUUAUCAUUGGCCAUGUGAAUAUGUAAUUACCAUGAUUUAUUUGCCAAGUACUGAACAUAAGUAAAUUUCCACAUUUUUAUUGAAUUUGAGAAGUUAAUUAGUAUGACUAUUAAGCAAAACCCAGACAUCAUUAUACAUGAAAUAUUUCCUUAUAAUUCUAAUAAAUUGAUUUCAAAACCUAUUAGGCUUGAAAUUUCAUUCAACGUGCCUACACAUUUUUUUCCCUUUGGUUAAUGGAUCUCUAUACUUAUCCUUCUCACUAGAAAUAUUCUAGGUCUAUUUAAAAGAUUUCAGUAUUUCUUGCUGGACGUACAUAAUUGGGUUUGUUUUCUGUGAAAAUCUGUGGAAAUGUCCUUUGAAGUUAAUGGAAAAGUGUAAUUUUUCUUUUUAUUGUUUCUUGGUAUUUUUGUAGCACUUCUUAUAUCCAGAGUACUGUGUAAUCACUAUUUCCUCUUGAGCUGUUUUUAUGUUAUUCAUUAUAAUGUCCUUUUCUUACAAUAUGUGAUUUACUUGUGUUAUUGCCUUUCCAUGUAGUUCAAGGGAGAAAGGGAAUAAGAAGGGCUCUUGUAAUACAUUGGGUUAGGCGUCCCCAAGAUCACCUCCAGGUUUGAUUAUUUACUGGGAAGACUCAUGGAACACAAUGUUUAUUCAUACUCACAAGUAUGAUUUAUUACAGCAAAGGAUGCAAAGCACAAUCAGCAAAGGCAAAAGGAAUAUGGGAUAAAGUCUGGGGGAAAUCAGGUGGUAGUUUCCAAGGGUUCCCUCACAGUGGAGUUGCAGAGUAUGUGUCUAAUUACCCCAACAGCAAGUUGAGAUGGCAUUUGCAGAAUGCUGUCUGCCAGGGGAGCUCAUUAGAGACUCCAUGCCCACGGUUUUUAUUGAGAGCUGAUCACAGAGGCAACCUCUGCCUGGCAUGAACCAUAUUCCAGACUCCCAGAAGUGUUCAGGUUGUAAUGGUUAUCUUCCGGUGUGUCUAGCCUGCUGGCCCACCCUGUGGAUUGUGGACUUGCCAGCCUCCCCAUAAUCGAGGGAACAAAUUCCUUAAAAUCUCUCCCCUCUCCCCCCAUCUCUAUCUCGUAAUGUAAAAAUAGCACAGGGAAUGCUGUAGCUUGUUUAUGGUUUUAUAUGUAACAAGAAUGUUCCUCCAACAUUGUGGACACCAGAAACACCCCCCCCCCCCGCCGGUUUAUAAACAAGGUAGACAUGCACAAGGAUCCAUCAAAGAGACAAGGAAACCCUUCCAAUCUAUCUCAACCUUAGACUGCAUUACCCUGGUAACGAAGUUAGUGUCAAGAAAAUGUUGAUCCAUCUUUGUAGUCCUCAGAUCUAUGCUGCUUGUGGUUUCUGUCCUAUGAUUUUUCAGCAGAUACCGUAACUUUCUCUUUUAACUUCUCAGGAAAUGCCAUGCUUGAAUGUGCCCUGAGACAUCAAGCAUGACAAGAACUAGCGCCCAAGAACUCAUCUGAAUAAAAAUGGUCUGACAGUAGGUGCUCCUGGGGCUCACCCCUCUCCUGCAAGCCAUCAACAGGGAAGAUGCUCCCAGGAUGGAGAGAUGGUAACUUUCCAGGCAUAACUGCUAUUUUUAGCAUCUGUACUUGUUUACUCAGUAGGUCCAGAUAAAGGGCAGACAUGGAAAGCAUGGGGAAAACACACGUUUUAAUUCUUUGCCAUCUCAGGCUUUCAUUUUUUUUCUCAUUAUUUUGACAGUGUCUUGUCUAGACUCCUGUGUCUUCUCUCCCUUCCCCAUUUUCAAUUUAUUUCAUAUCUUGGUAUAAGAUUUUUUUCCCAUAAACAUGAAUCUGGUCAUAUUGUCUCAAUGAGCCCCAACUCAGUCUCCACAGUCUACUAAAUAAAUUCUCAAGUUCUUGGCAUUGCAUUAAGAGAAUGUCACAGUGUGAUCUAAAUUUAUGGUCUCAGCCUCAUUUCUAGUCACCUCCCUAUCAAGGGUGAG